GCCCGGACAGGGGUACGCCGGCCGGUGGAUGCCUCGGCUUGGGCGCCGACGAAGGACGUGGCAAGCUGCGAUAAGCCCCGGGUACCCGCAGGCAGGGGUAGAUCCGGGGAUCUCCUAAUGGGACAUCCUGCGGCAGGCUUCGGCCUGCCGCGGUCCCGGCCUGAGCCGGGAUCGGGAACCCCCCGAACGGAAGCAUCCAAGUAGGGGGAGGAAAAGAAAUCAAACGAGAUUCCCCUAGUAGGGGCGACCGAACGGGGAGGAGCCCAAACCGAACCCCCUGGGGAAACUCAGGGGGAAUGUGGGGUUAAGGGCCGGGGGUCCACCCUGAAGCCCGAGCCGAACUCCCCUGGAAUGGGGGGCCAAAGAGGGUGAUAGCCCCGUAGGCGAAGGGCGGAUGGGUGAUGCCCCGGAUCCCAGAGUACCGCACCUCGGAUAUGGUGCGGGAAGUUGGGGGCCACUGGCCUCCAAGGCUAAAUACGUCCCAAGACCGAUAGUGGACCAGUAGCGUGAGCGAAAGGUGAAAAGUACCCCGGGAGGGGGGUGAAAAGCGCCUGAAACCGGCCGGUAACAGACGAGGGCGGCCCGAAAGGGAAAUCCCCGUCAAGGCCCCGAAAGGGGCCGCGCGGGGACAAUCCCAGGGUCGCCCGCUCCGUCUUGAAACACGGGCCGGGGAGUUCACGGGUGUGGCGAGUCUAAGGGCUGAAAGCCCGGAGGCGUAGGGAAACCGAGCGCCCGCAGCCGGAGGGAGCUCCGGCGAGGGGCGGGGUCCGAAAGGGCCUGUAGCCACGCCCGUGAGGCUAGAAACCGGGCGAUCUAGCCCUGGGCAGGGUGAAGCCGGGGGAAACCCCGGUCGAGGCCCGAAUAGGGGUCCUGACGUGCAAUUCGGUCCCCUGACCUGGGGCUAGGAGUCAAAAGCUAACCGAGCCCGGUGAUAGCUAGUUCCCCCCGAAGUGUCUCGCAGGACAGCCCCGGGGGAGGUUGCCUGCGGGGUAGGGCACUGAUAGGGGAGAAAGGGGCCGAUGAGGCCCCGCUCUCCUUUCAAACUACGAACCCGCAGGCGCCGUAGAUCCCGGGAGUGGGGUACUGGGGGUAAGCUCCAGGACCGAGAGGGGAACAACCCAGACCGCGGGUUAAGGCCCCUAAGUGCCCGCUAAGUGACAAACCGAAGGGCGUCCCCGUCCUGAGACAGCGGGGCCGUAGGCUUAGAAGCAGCCAUCGGCUAAGAAGUGCGUAACAGCUUACCCGCCGAGGACGGGGGCCCCGAAAAUUGACGGGUCUAAGCGGGCCGCCGAAACCCGGGCUCACCCGUGCCUUGCACGGGUGGGGGUAGGGGGGCGUGGCGGCUGGGCAGAAGCGGGGCCGUGAGGUCCCGUGGACCGGCCGCCAAUGCAGAUCCCGGUGGUAGUAGACAGCGAAGAGGGGUGGAAAUCCCCUCCGCCGGAAGGGCACGGGUUUCCCGGCAAUGCGUCGUCAGCCGGGAGUAAGCCGGUCCUAAGGCCGACCUUAACCGGGUAGGCCGAAGGGGAAGCCGGUUAACAUUCCGGCGCCCCGCGGGUAGGUGCGGCGACGCAAGCCGGGCCCCUGACGCUUCGGGGUAGGCCGAGCAGGGCCGUAGCCCUGCCCAAGCGCUGAAGCCUGGGGAGUGCCGUAACGGCGAGAACCAGGUGAAGGCGUGAUGGGGCGGCGUAUGCCGCUUCGGCCGAUCCCUGGAGCCAGUGAAAAGGGGGUCCGGAACGAUCCCGCGGGACCGUACCUAGAUCCGACACUGGUGCCCCUGGCUGAGAAGGCCAAGGCGUCUGGGGUGACUCCGGGCCAGGGAACUCGGCAAAUUGGCCCCGUAACCUCGGGAGAAGGGGUGCCUGCCUUCCUCUCCGACGAGGAGGGGUUGGCAGGUCGCAGUGACAAGGGGGUCCCGACUGUUUAAUAAAAACAUAGGAAGCCGCAAGGCCGAAAGGCUUUGAACGGCUUCUGAAUCCUGGCCAGCACCGGUACCUGAAACCCGGGUCCAACCGGGAUAAGGGCCGGCUAGCGCCGGGGGUAACCCUGACCCUCGGGUUAAGGGGGUCGUUAAACGUGGCUGUAUGCGGGGAAGGCUGGAGGUCACGGGCACCGCUUAAGCGGUAACAGUCCCGUGGCCGGUGAGGCCGACCCGCAGGAAACCGCCCCAUGAGGUGCCGAAUCUUCUAAUAACUGGACGGCUGCAGACGAUUCAGUGAACCUCGCUUACAUCAUCGGCGUGAUGCUGGGCGACGGAGGGGUUUACGGUAAUUAUUACACGGUCUUCUGCAGGGAUCCUAACCUCGAGUUCGUUGAGUUCAUCGCGCGGACGGUCGAGGAGCUCUUCGGGAUAAAGCCAAACGUAAGGCGGGCCAGCACGAAGUACUACUUGGUCUCGACGAACGUCCGAUGGGUCCACGAUUUCUUCCUCAGGAUCGGCUUUCCGAAGGGCAGGAAGCUGACUAACGCCUCGAUCCCUCCACUCUACAGGAACGAUCUGGACGUCGUCAAGGGCCUCUUCGACAGCGAGGGUUACUGCGGCAUCGACUAUCAGCGCCACGGCGAGAAGACGUACGCCUACCCCUAUGUAGGGAUUGACAUGAUAGCGAGGCCGGUGAUAAGGCAGGCAAUGGACCUUCUGAGAAAGCACGGAAUACAGUGCUCGCAUCAGAGGAAGACGCCCAGGGCGUGGGGUAAGCACUACCAGUGGAGGCUGGUCGUCAAGGGAUGGGAGAACGUCAAGCUUUUCUCGGAACUGAUCGGAUUCAGACAUCCGGAGAGGUCGAGGAGGUUGCUGGAGAUCCUAACCGAGGGCGGGAUCCUCAGAGACCAUACGCCACGCGCCCCAGCUGGCACGGAAGGAUGUCAGCUGGGGUGAUGAUAUGGUCCAACCCCGACCAUCAGGUCGGGCAUGCUUAAGGUAGCCAAAUGCCUUGUCGGGUGAGUUCCGACGCGCAUGAAUGGAUCAACGAGGGCCCCACUGUCCCGGCCCGGAGCCCCGUGAACCCA
This 3006-nucleotide ribosomal RNA is filed under the name Candidatus Calditenuis sp. RNAcentral describes it as "partial 23S ribosomal RNA". It matches the Rfam family "Archaeal large subunit ribosomal RNA", at positions 1 to 2121 of the family's 2987-position model. The record is from RNAcentral. Lineage: Archaea; Thermoproteati; Nitrososphaerota; Candidatus Caldarchaeales; Candidatus Calditenuaceae.